GACGAACGCUGGCGGCGUGCUUAACACAUGCAAGUCGAACGGAAAGGCCCUGCUCUUGUGGGGUUCUCGAGUGGCGAACGGGUGAGUAACACGUGAGUAACCUGCCCUUGACUUUGGGAUAACUUCAGGAAACUGGGGCUAAUACCCGAUAGGAGCUCCUGCUGCAUGGUGUGGGUUGGAAAGUUUCGGCGGUUGGGGAUGGUCUCGCGGCUUAUCAGCUUGUUGGUGGGGUAGUGGCUUACCAAGGCUUUGAAGGGUAGCCGGCCUGAGAGGGUGACCGGCCACAAUGGGCCUGAGAGAGGCACCAGAAUCCUACGGGAGGCAGCGGUGGGGAACAUUGCACAAUGGGGCGAAGCGUGAUGCAGCAACGCUGCGUGCGGGAUGCCGGCCUACGAGUGGUAAACCGCUUUCGACGGUGACGAAGAGUGAGUGACGGUAAUGAGUAAAGAAGCACCGGCUAACUACGUG
RNAcentral lists this ribosomal RNA (468 nucleotides) under uncultured bacterium. Its description in RNAcentral is "partial 16S ribosomal RNA". It matches the Rfam family "Bacterial small subunit ribosomal RNA", at positions 28 to 507 of the family's 1533-position model. The record is from RNAcentral.